CCUACGGGUGGCAGCAGUGAGGAAUAUUGGUCAAUGGGCGAGAGCCUGAACCAGCCAAGUCGCGUGAGGGAGUACUGCCCUAUGGGUUGUAAACCUCUUUUGUCGGGGAGCAAAAGCCGGACGUGUCCGGCUGUGAGAGUACCCGAAUAAAAAGCAUCGGCUAACUCCGUGCCAGCAGCCGCGGUAAUACGGAGGAUGCGAGCGUUAUCCGGAUUUAUUGGGUUUAAAGGGUGCGCAGGCGGAUUUUUAAGUCAGCGGUAAAAUCGUGGGGCUCAACCCCAUCCAGCCGGUGAAACUGGGGAUCUAGAGUGUGCGAGAGGUAUGCGGAAUGCGUGGUGUAGCGGUGAAAUGCAUAGAUAUCACGAAGAACCCCGAUUGCGAAGGCAGCAUACCGGUGCACAACUGACGCUCAGGCACGAAAGCGUGGGUAUCGAACAGGAUUAGAUACCCUAGUAGUC
Molecule: ribosomal RNA, 458 nt
Filed under: uncultured bacterium
Lineage: Bacteria
Description: partial 16S ribosomal RNA
Rfam family: Bacterial small subunit ribosomal RNA
Source: RNAcentral